Molecule: ribosomal RNA, 1224 nt
Filed under: Salmonella enterica
Lineage: Bacteria; Pseudomonadati; Pseudomonadota; Gammaproteobacteria; Enterobacterales; Enterobacteriaceae
Description: partial 23S ribosomal RNA
Rfam family: Bacterial large subunit ribosomal RNA
Source: RNAcentral
GGGUUGUGAGGUUAAGCGACUAAGCGUACACGGUGGAUGCCCUGGCAGUCAGAGGCGAUGAAGGGCGUGCUAAUCUGCGAUAAGCGCCGGUAAGGUGAUAUGAACCGUUAUAACCGGCGAUACCCGAAUGGGGAAACCCAGUGUGAUUCGUCACACUAUCAUUAACUGAAUCCAUAGGUUAAUGAGGCGAACCGGGGGAACUGAAACAUCUAAGUACCCCGAGGAAAAGAAAUCAACCGAGAUUCCCCCAGUAGCGGCGAGCGAACGGGGAGGAGCCCAGAGCCUGAAUCAGCAUGUGUGUUAGUGGAAGCGUCUGGAAAGACGCGCGAUACAGGGUGACAGCCCCGUACACAAAAGCGUAUGUGCUGUGAGCUCGAUGAGUAGGGCGGGACACGUGGUAUCCUGUCUGAAUAUGGGGGGACCAUCCUCCAAGGCUAAAUACUCCUGACUGACCGAUAGUGAACCAGUACCGUGAGGGAAAGGCGAAAAGAACCCCGGCGAGGGGAGUGAAAAAGAACCUGAAACCGUGUACGUACAAGCAGUGGGAGCACCCUUUGGGGUGUGACUGCGUACCUUUUGUAUAAUGGGUCAGCGACUUAUAUUCUGUAGCAAGGUUAACCGAAUAGGGGAGCCGGAGGGAAACCGAGUCUUAAUUGGGCGUUAAGUUGCAGGGUAUAGACCCGAAACCCGGUGAUCUAGCCAUGGGCAGGUUGAAGGUUGGGUAACACUAACUGGAGGACCGAACCGACUAAUGUUGAAAAAUUAGCGGAUGACCUGUGGCUGGGGGUGAAAGGCCAAUCAAACCGGGAGAUAGCUGGUUCUCCCCGAAAGCUAUUUAGGUAGCGCCUCGUGAAUUCAUCUCCGGGGGUAGAGCACUGUUUCGGCUAGGGGGUCAUCCCGACUUACCAACCCGAUGCAAACUGCGAAUACCGGAGAAUGUUAUCACGGGAGACACACGGCGGGUGCUAACGUCCGUCGUGAAGAGGGAAACAACCCAGACCGCCAGCUAAGGUCCCAAAGUCAUGGUUAAGUGGGAAACGAUGUGGGAAGGCCCAGACAGCCAGGAUGUUGGCUUAGAAGCAGCCAUCAUUUAAAGAAAGCGUAAUAGCUCACUGGUCGAGUCGGCCUGCGCGGAAGAUGUAACGGGGCUAAACCAUGCACCGAAGCUGCGGCAGCGACACUAUGUGUUGUUGGGUAGGGGAGCGUUCUGUAAGCCUGUGAAGG